UACGUAGGGUGCGAGCGUUGUCCGGAAUUAUUGGGCGUAAAGGGCUCGUAGGCGGUCUGUCACGUCGGGAGUGAAAACUCGGGGCUUAACUCCGAGCCUGCUUCUGAUACGGGCAGACUAGAGGUAUGCAGGGGAGAAUGGAAUUCCUGGUGUAGCGGUGAAAUGCGCAGAUAUCAGGAGGAACACCGGUGGCGAAGGCGGGUCUCUGGCCCGGUUCUGACGCUGAGGCGCGAAAGCGUGGGGAGCAAACAGG
This 253-nucleotide ribosomal RNA is filed under the name uncultured bacterium. RNAcentral's name for it is "partial 16S ribosomal RNA". It matches the Rfam family "Bacterial small subunit ribosomal RNA", at positions 524 to 776 of the family's 1533-position model. The record is from RNAcentral.